CCCCUCGCCGCCACCGCCGGGGGCAGCCGCGCACCCCGCCCGGCCCGGGGCCGUGUCUCCCGCGCCCCCCCCCCCCCCCCCCCCGCAGCCACCCACCUGCAGCCUGCCGGCAGCCGCACGCCGUGAGGAGGGCGGCCCGCCCCGCCGCCCGCGGGCGGGAGGAGCGGCGGCAAGGUCGGCUUCACCUCGCCCGCCGCCGCUCGCCUCAUGCCCGCGGGGCCCUGCGGCCGGCCCGCCGGGAUCCCCGCGCCGCCGCCGCCUCCCGCCGCGCCGCGGGGAGGCCGGGCCGGGCCGGGCCGGGCGGCACCUGCUGCCGAAAGCUGACGGGGGAACCGCCCGCCCCGGCCCGGCCCUCGGCGCCGCCUGGUGAGGGCCCGGCCCGGCCUUCGCAGCGGCCUUCGGCGGUGGGCAGCUGCGGGACACGGGUCACCCGCCGUGUGGUGGAUUCCCGCCGCGGGCGGCGAAGGCCGCCGUAGUUAGCACCCUCCCGAAACGCCGAAACGUUACCGUCUGCGGCUGGGGCUAGAGGGGAGGAGGCACCGGCCUGAAGCGGUCUGGCCGGCGGUGGUUGCGCGGUCUGGGCAGCGGGUCCUCCCGGCCUGGCAGAGGUCCUGCUGCCAUCUGAGGAAAUCUCCGUGUGCUUAUGGACGUUUACUGUGCAAGCCUCCCCAUGCCUUACUGCCCCUGCCUCUGCAGACGGGGAAAGGGAGGCCAGAGAGCUUUUUGCCAAGGAUAACAGACUCGGUCUGUGGCGGAGUUGGUAGAAACCUUAAUUUCCGUCCCGCGUUCUAAUUAUGAGAUGUUUCCUCCCACCCCGCAGUUACUUUUAUGCAGAUGAAGUAAUCUACCUCUCACCAUCCCACCCUGCCUUCUGUGCUCCUGCCGAGGCGGCUGGUUAGAAGACAUGAAUGAAACUCCGGUGGUGUGAUUACAGCUUGUGAGCCGACUGAGCGUAUCGUAUAAAACAUACAGCUAUUGCUGCUCUCAGACUGGAAUUGUCCAAUGAGCUGGCCAGCCCCUGUAAUUGAACCGACUCCUCACCCUCUCAGCCUGGGAAACCUCCUUUCGUGCCUCCAUCCACAACAGCCCACUUCUCAGCCUGCAACGGACACAGGCUGGUGAAUUGUACUGCAUUGAGCUGCUGAGAUAAGUACGGUAAUUUCAUUAAAAAGAAGAAGAUUGCCUCCCACAUUCAUGGACACAGACAAGCAUGGACAGAUGCCUGACUCCAUUAUCACCUUCUCCUUCAUCAUGAAAAAGCCAAGCAAAAUCCUAAGGCACUUUAAGGCCACAAAAUGGGUCAGUAAUGCUGGGGGUGGGGGAAGCAAUGAAGAAAUUCCCUUGCUGUGCCUGCUGGAGAGAGAAUCAAGCGGAUGCAAACCUACUUUCUGCAGCUGGGAGACAUCACUUGAGGGAUCCCUGAAGUGGGUCAGGGCGGGGGUCAUGCUCACUGUUCUCAAAAUUUCCAGGGCAUCAGCAAGAAGUAUCCUCUGUCAGCAUAUCCAGAAGUAUGAUUGAAAACUAGCAUGGGAAUCUUCUUCCCAGCAGAACACAGGAAAGCAAGAAUUUGUUGUUUGAAAAAGUCCAUCUGACAGGAAUAUUAAACAGGCUUUCACUUAGCAGGAUAUGUACAUGUUGGCUUCUAGAGACCAGGAAGGAGAGAAGUCACCUCAAGCAGCAGCUUAUUGGAGAACUGUGAGGCGUUGUAUAGCCAGAGGAAGAAGCUGGCAAAAAUUGGCAGAGCCCUACAGAGGAACAAGCUCUUUUCUGUCCUUCAGCAUCCAGUAUGGCUCUUAGUUAUAUUCUGCUGUUUCACCUGACAGUAUUUUUAUUAUAAAGCCCUGGCUGCAGUGACCAUGAAAGGGUGGAGUUCAAGUUCCUUUGGGCAGCA
Long non-coding RNA from Aquila chrysaetos chrysaetos, 1891 nucleotides. RefSeq lists it as uncharacterized. Lineage: Eukaryota; Metazoa; Chordata; Aves; Accipitriformes; Accipitridae. The record is from RefSeq and is a predicted model, not a curated record. The transcript has 5 exons.